Molecule: ribosomal RNA, 92 nt
Filed under: Legionella pneumophila
Lineage: Bacteria; Pseudomonadati; Pseudomonadota; Gammaproteobacteria; Legionellales; Legionellaceae
Source: RNAcentral
UCCUGGCGACUAUAGCGAUUUGGAACCACCUGAUACCAUCUCGAACUCAGAAGUGAAACAUUUCCGCGCCAAUGAUAGUGUGAGGUCUCCUC